RNAcentral lists this transfer RNA (72 nucleotides) under Rattus norvegicus (Norway rat). It matches the Rfam family "tRNA". From Rfam's summary of the family: Transfer RNA (tRNA) molecules are approximately 80 nucleotides in length. Lineage: Eukaryota; Metazoa; Chordata; Mammalia; Rodentia; Muridae. The record is from Rfam by way of RNAcentral.
UGUGGAUUAGCUCAGUGGUAGAGCGCUUGCCUAGUAAGCACAAGGCCCUGGGUUCAGUCCCCAGCUCCGGAA